AGCUCCAAUAGCGUAUAUUAAAGUUGCUGCAGUUAAAAAGCUCGUAGUUGAAUUUGUGGCGCGGCCAUCCGGCGGGGGCUCUUCAUUGAGCCCGUUUGUCCUGGUUUUUGGCCGUUCCUUUCUCGGGUAGCGUGUGGCUGGCAUUAGGUUGUUGGCUGCUUCGCGCCCGUCUUUUACUGUGAAAAAAUUAGAGUGUAAUAAUAAGAUAGGGCCACGACGGUCUAUUUUGUUGGUUUGCACGUUGUGGUAAUGGUUAACAGGAAUAGUUGGGGGUAUUCGUAUUCAAUUGUCAGAGGUGAAAUUCUUGGAUUUGUGGAAGACGAACUACUGCGAAAGCAUUUACCAAGGAUGUUUUCA
RNAcentral lists this ribosomal RNA (357 nucleotides) under uncultured eukaryote. RNAcentral's name for it is "SSU rRNA". It matches the Rfam family "Eukaryotic small subunit ribosomal RNA", at positions 587 to 972 of the family's 1831-position model. The record is from RNAcentral.